GAUGAACGCUGGCGGCGUGCCUAAUACAUGCAAGUCGAGCGAACGGACGAGAAGCUUGCUUCUCUGAUGUUAGCGGCGGACGGGUGAGUAACACGUGGAUAACCUACCUAUAAGACUGGGAUAACUUCGGGAAACCGGAGCUAAUACCGGAUAAUAUUUUGAACCGCAUGGUUCAAAAGUGAAAGACGGUCUUGCUGUCACUUAUAGAUGGAUCCGCGCUGCAUUAGCUAGUUGGUAAGGUAACGGCUUACCAAGGCAACGAUGCAUCGCCGACCUGAGAGGGUGAUCGGCCACACUGGAACUGAGACACGGUCCAGACUCCUACGGGAGGCAGCAGUAGGGAAUCUUCCGCAAUGGGCGAAAGCCUGACGGAGCAACGCCGCGUGAGUGAUGAAGGUCUUCGGAUCGUAAAACUCUGUUAUUAGGGAAGAACAUAUGUGUAAGUAACUGUGCACAUCUUGACGGUACCUAAUCAGAAAGCCACGGCUAACUACGUG
RNAcentral lists this ribosomal RNA (497 nucleotides) under uncultured bacterium. RNAcentral's name for it is "partial 16S ribosomal RNA". It matches the Rfam family "Bacterial small subunit ribosomal RNA", at positions 28 to 507 of the family's 1533-position model. The record is from RNAcentral.